This 213-nucleotide long non-coding RNA is filed under the name Elaeis guineensis (African oil palm). RNAcentral describes it as "long non-coding RNA (EGUI_LNC077011)". Lineage: Eukaryota; Viridiplantae; Streptophyta; Magnoliopsida; Arecales; Arecaceae. The record is from RNAcentral.
CCUUUUCCAUGAAGAAAGUGAAGAAAGUACUUUUUCUUCUAUUUUUUUUAUUUUAAUUUUUUUUCAAUCAAGUUUUCAAUCAAAAGAAGAGAAAAGAAAAGAAAAAGAGUACUGACUAAGGUUUUCCUAAUUCUAGACAGCUCCUAACUGUCAAGGUCGCCUUCGAGCACUCCAAGUUCGAAAUCGGCUAACCGAAUCAGCCAGGUAAGUGUA